Zonotrichia albicollis (white-throated sparrow) is the source of this 147-nucleotide non-coding RNA. The record is from RefSeq and is a predicted model, not a curated record. Lineage: Eukaryota; Metazoa; Chordata; Aves; Passeriformes; Passerellidae.
CGAGACCAAGAGGAACCGGGAGAUCGCACAGCUCAAGAAGGAGCAGCGCCGGCAGGAGUUCCAGAUCAGGGCUCUGGAAUCUCAGAAGCGACAGCAGGAAAUUGUGCUGCGGAGGAAAACGCAGGAGGUGUCAGCGCUGCGCCGUCU